GAUGAACGCUGGCGGCGUGCCUAAUACAUGCAAGUCGAGCGAACGGACGAGAAGCUUGCUUCUCUGAUGUUAGCGGCGGACGGGUGAGUAACACGUGGAUAACCUACCUAUAAGACUGGGAUAACCUCGGGAAACCGGAGCUAAUACCGGAUGAUAUUUUGAACCGCAUGGUUCAAAAGUGAAAGACGGUCUUGCUGUCACUUAUAGAUGGAUCCGCGCUGCAUUAGCUAGUUGGUAAGGUAACGGCUUACCAAGGCAACGAUGCAUAGCCGACCUGAGAGGGGGAUCGGCCACACUGGAACUGAGACACGGUCCAGACGCCUACGGGAGGCAGCAGUAGGGAAUCUUCCGCAAUGGGCGAAAGCCUGACGGAGCAACGCCGCGUGAGUGAUGAAGGUCUUCGGAUCGUAAAACUCUGUUAUUAGGGAAGAACAUAUGUGUAAGUAACUGUGCACAGCUUGACGGUACCUAAUCAGAAAGCCACGGCUAACUACGUG
This 497-nucleotide ribosomal RNA is filed under the name uncultured bacterium. RNAcentral's name for it is "partial 16S ribosomal RNA". It matches the Rfam family "Bacterial small subunit ribosomal RNA", at positions 28 to 507 of the family's 1533-position model. The record is from RNAcentral.